UUCGCAAUGCCCGAAAGGGUGACGAAGCGACGCCGCGUGUGGGAAGAAGGCCUUCGGGUUGUAAACCACUGUCGGGAGUUAAGAAAUGUAAGGAUGUUAAUAGCGUUCUUACUUGACUAAGGCUCCGGAGGAAGCCACGGCUAACUCUGUGCCAGCAGCCGCGGUAAUACAGAGGCGGCAAGCGUUGUUCGGUAUUAUUGGGCGUAAAGAGCACGUAGGUGGUUUUGUAAGUCAGAUGUGAAAGCCUUCUGUUCAAAGGAAGAACGGCAUCUGAAACUGCGAAUCUUGAGUGUAGGAGGGGAGAGUGGAACUUCUGGUGGAGCGGUGAAAUGCGUAGAUAUCAGAAGGAACGCCGGCGGCGAAAGCGGCUCUCUGGCCCGUAACUGACGCUGAGUGUGCGAAAGCUAGGGGAGCAAACGGGAUUAGAUACCCCGGUAGUCCUAGCCGUAAACGAUGGGCACUAAGUAGAGGGGUUUU
RNAcentral lists this ribosomal RNA (477 nucleotides) under uncultured anaerobic ammonium-oxidizing bacterium. Its description in RNAcentral is "bacterial SSU rRNA". It matches the Rfam family "Bacterial small subunit ribosomal RNA", at positions 365 to 832 of the family's 1533-position model. The record is from RNAcentral.